Molecule: long non-coding RNA, 887 nt
Filed under: Mus musculus (house mouse)
Lineage: Eukaryota; Metazoa; Chordata; Mammalia; Rodentia; Muridae
Description: predicted gene 45579
Source: RNAcentral
GUCCCCUCCAGGGACAUUGCUUGGACUUCCCUGCUGAGCCACACACCUCUGCUCUGCCAUCAUGGACUCUAGUCCUCCGAAGCCCUUUGGCUUUUCCAUUGAGAGGAAAACCAUCUCUGAGGGAAGGAUGUACAGAAGUGUUGGCAGCAGCAAUUUCUGCAAGAACCCCGCAUCCAUCUGCAGCAGACUGUGGUGGGUAUGUGGAUAUGUGAUGGAUAGCAGGAUAGUGGUGGUUAUGAAUCCAACAGUGGAAUGUUACACAGCACUGGAAAUGGAGGACCACAGCAAACCUCAACAGACCACUGCUGAUGAUAUCCAGGAAUCAGACUCUGGGUCAGAAACAAACAAACAAACAAAAAGCAGGUCACAUCCACAUAGGUUUGAGGUGAUUCUCGAAUAUCGUACACAGAUGUGCAAAUCGAAAUGGCCUUUUAAAGGGAUAGAAACAUGAAAUAAUUUUUUUUUUUUGAGACAAGGUCUCUCUACAUAUGUCUGGAUGGGCUGAAACUCACUAUGUAGACCAGGCUUGUUUCAAACUCACAGAAAUCAGAACAUCUCUGCCUCCCAAGUGCAGGGAUUAAAAGAGUGCAUCACCAUGCCUGGAGGAAAUAAUUUUUAAAAUCAGAGAAGCUAAGGGUGAUGGCUCAUACCUAUAAUCCCAAAUGACUCUAGCAGGCAGCUCAGUACCCCUUUCUGAUCUUGAGCGACAAGGUUUCAGCCUAAUAGAUGUGUAGAAUGUUGUAUGGAGCCUACAGCACACCCCAGACAGCAGGAUUAUAUGGAAGCCCCUGGGCUGGCUUGUUAAAAAAACAACUUGAUAGAUAUGUAAACUAAUAAAAGAGUAAUACGUAGGAGUAUAGUAUAGAGGUUCUUCAAGACACUAAAAA